This is a long non-coding RNA of Alosa sapidissima (American shad), 658 nucleotides long. RefSeq lists it as uncharacterized. Lineage: Eukaryota; Metazoa; Chordata; Actinopteri; Clupeiformes; Clupeidae. The transcript is spliced from 3 exons. The record is from RefSeq and is a predicted model, not a curated record.
AUUGCCAGGGCCGAAUUUUGCUCCCAGUCCGACCCUGACGUCAGAUGUUUUUAAUUUUUGACGGAUCAAAACGAAAAUCAAUGGUUUUAAUGGUAUUAAUUAGUUAUUUUAUAUCAAAGAUCAACCCAGAAGUGAAAACCAACUUGAAGCCAGUGCUCAACGUUAUACUUUUCACCACGAAGCUCCGAUCAACCCAGAAGUCAAAACCGACGUGAAGCCAGUGCUCAACGUUAUGCUUUUCACCACGAAGCUCCGAUUGGUUUUUUUAUUGACUCCCGACCAGAACCGAUUCUGAACCGUGCGGUUCAGUGGCGAGCCAACCCGAGAUCUGAAGAUUGUAGACAGACCCCUACCCACCGGUGUGGCCAGCCGGAGAGCGAGGAUUUGCCUACAAAGAUUGAAUUGACUGACUUGACUGACUGACCACCAAAUCUCAACCGGAUUCCAGAUAAGAUCUUUUAAGAUUGUGCAUACUGAAAGAGACACUGAUUCACACAUUCAAGAACUUUCAUACACACACACACAUAUACAUACAUAUUUUAUUUAUUUUGUUUUUUGGGGAAGAGCUCUUUGGGUGGUUUAAUUUUAUAUUACUGUCUGCACUUUAUAUUGCUCUGAUCUGUAGACAAUAAAAUUGUCACCUGUUCAAUUGUAACCA